UACGAAGGGGACUAGCGUUGUUCGGAAUCACUGGGCGUAAAGCGCACGUAGGCGGAUUUGUAAGUCAGGGGUGAAAUCCCGGGGCUCAACCUCGGAACUGCCUUUGAUACUGAGGAUCUUGAGUUCGGGAGAGGUGAGUGGAACUGCGAGUGUAGAGGUGAAAUUCGUAGAUAUUCGCAAGAACACCAGUGGCGAAGGCGGCUCACUGGCCCGAUACUGACGCUGAGGCACGAAAGCGUGGGGAGCAAACAGGG
This 254-nucleotide ribosomal RNA is filed under the name uncultured bacterium. RNAcentral describes it as "partial 16S ribosomal RNA". It matches the Rfam family "Bacterial small subunit ribosomal RNA", at positions 524 to 777 of the family's 1533-position model. The record is from RNAcentral.